UUACAUCAGUUAAUUUGUACAUUCCUUAUCAAUGUGACAAAUGAUGGAAAUUAUACUUCUUGUGUGAAAUUUGUCGAUCGAGGCGUAACCGAGGUCGGUAAACACACAAGAAAUACCAUUUCCAUCAU
Long non-coding RNA from Bradysia coprophila, 128 nucleotides. The record is from RefSeq and is a predicted model, not a curated record. NCBI's taxonomy places the organism in Eukaryota, Metazoa, Arthropoda, Insecta, Diptera, Sciaridae.